UCCCUGGUGCACAAAUUUCGCGCACCAGGCCUCUAGUAAAUAAAAUAAGUCUUGAAUACACAGAGGAGGAGAAAUAAAGUCAAGCCAAUUAACUUAGGACCCAGAGGGCUCAGUAAACAAGCAGCUGCAGCCAAGUUCGAGACCUUCAUUUGAGAAUUAGCCAUGAUAGGAUAGGAGCAUUAUCUGAGAAAGAAGUAUGUGAUGGGAGCCUAGAGGGAGGUAUCAGUACGCCCAAGAAAGCCAGGCAAGAAGUUGGAGCUUGAAGCUUGUGUUUAAGCAUCCUAGAC
Molecule: long non-coding RNA, 287 nt
Organism: Myotis davidii
Lineage: Eukaryota; Metazoa; Chordata; Mammalia; Chiroptera; Vespertilionidae
Exons: 2
Source: RefSeq, a predicted model, not a curated record